ACCUUCGUGGUGUAACGGUAGCACACUCGGCUUGUAUUCGAGACGUGCAGGUUCGACUCUUGGCGAGGGCA
RNAcentral lists this transfer RNA (71 nucleotides) under Stegodyphus mimosarum. It matches the Rfam family "tRNA". From Rfam's summary of the family: Transfer RNA (tRNA) molecules are approximately 80 nucleotides in length. Their secondary structure includes four short double-helical elements and three loops (D, anti-codon, and T loops). Further hydrogen bonds mediate the characteristic L-shaped molecular structure. tRNAs have two regions of fundamental functional importance: the anti-codon, which is responsible for specific mRNA codon recognition, and the 3' end, to which the tRNAs corresponding amino acid is attached (by aminoacyl-tRNA synthetases). tRNAs cope with the degeneracy of the genetic code in two manners: having more than one tRNA (with a specific anti-codon) for a particular amino acid; and 'wobble' base-pairing, i.e. permitting non-standard base-pairing at the 3rd anti-codon position. The record is from Rfam by way of RNAcentral. Lineage: Eukaryota; Metazoa; Arthropoda; Arachnida; Araneae; Eresidae.